CCUACGGGUGGCAGCAGUGAGGAAUAUUGGUCAAUGGGCGUGAGCCUGAACCAGCCAAGUAGCGUGAAGGAUGAAUGCUCUAUGGGUCGUAAACUUCUUUUAUAAGGGAAUAAAAUGUGUGACGUGUGGUAUUUUGUAUGUACCUUAUGAAUAAGGAUCGGCUAACUCCGUGCCAGCAGCCGCGGUAAUACGGAGGAUCCGAGCGUUAUCCGGAUUUAUUGGGUUUAAAGGGUGCGUAGGUGGACUGUUAAGUCAGUUGUGAAAGUCUGCGGCUCAACCAUAGAAUUGCCGUUGAAACUGGCAGUCUUGAGUAUGGUAGAGGUAGGCGGAAGGCGUGGUGUAGCGGUGAAAUGCUUAGAUAUCACGAAGAACUCCGAUUGCGAAGGCAGCUCGC
RNAcentral lists this ribosomal RNA (394 nucleotides) under uncultured bacterium. RNAcentral describes it as "partial 16S ribosomal RNA". It matches the Rfam family "Bacterial small subunit ribosomal RNA", at positions 338 to 729 of the family's 1533-position model. The record is from RNAcentral.